UUUUAGCUCUUUCAUCAGUUCAUUGGCUUUGAUGUUGGGCCUAAGUAAAUGGGAAAUCAUCAAUUGGCAUUGUUCAAGAUAUAAUUCUGUGUUUUUGGAUUUGUGAAACGAUUUGGCUUAUGAAGAUGGUGGGUUUUUUUUAUAUAGAUUGGGCUGAUCUAUCUUUCUUAAUAAAUUUCCCAUCUGUUUCAGGUAUAAAAUUUUCUCAUCUAUUUGCAAACAAGUUUUGAUUUUGUAUUAUUUAUAUUCCUGCCAUUGCCAAAAAGCAUGGGCUGCAGAGACAAAGAGAGGGAGAUAGGCGGGGGAUGGCAGGGAGGGGAAGGGAGAGGGAAGAGUGAGGUUGCCAUAAAGGAGGUUAAGGUUGAUCUUUUCUCCUCAAAUCAAGGGUUGGUGUCGGGAUUGAGGGAUGGGUUGAAAUUGCCACUAGAAGCCUAAAUUAAUGGGUAGCUAUCGGUGUUUGAGAGAUUGAUUUGAGAAGGAUGGGAGAGAGACAGAAACACACCCACUGCUUUCAUUUGUGUUUGAUUUCAGAUUUGCUCCAAUAUAUGUGCUUAGUAAUAUUUCUGCAAUUUGUGUUAUGCUUUCACUCCAAUACCUAUGUAGAUUAAUUUUUGUGCAAUUUUGGUGUUUGUGUUUCUGUCUUUAUGGGUCUUAUAUCGUUGAAAUCCUGUUCACUUAUUGUGUAUUGCUCAAAUACCUCUGUUGGCUUCUACAGAGAGGUUCGAGUUCUUUACCAAACUGAUGUCAUGUCAAUUCUAUCUUAUUUCUCUAAUGGUUUUGUUUAGUUCUUAUUAUCCCUUCACUGUAUUCAAAGAUCAAUUGUUGCUUAUUAGUGUUUGUGCAAAUUGGAUGGAACUGAUGUUUCUAUGUUUCUUCUUAGAUUCAACUGAUAUCAUGGUAAUUCUGCACUUGACCUCUAUAUUGUAUGUUAAUUUAUCAUCCUUUCACUUCCUGAGAGCCAAUUGUUGGAGCUUAGUACUCAAUCAGGUGAAUUCCAAAUGCAAGAUCCUCUAAUUUCAUUUUUUGCAGCAUAAUUCAGCUUCUCAGUUCAGUUCUCAGGUGUAGGUUAUCCUCAUGUUCUAGUUCCAUUAGGACUACCGGUGUUUAUUUUGGUUUCAUGUGUCUUUCUUCAGUUCUAAGUCCUUCGCAUGAAUGUGUACUGAAAUGUAAUGUAAAUAACUGGUAUGUGCUACGUCUCACUUUUCUAUUUAUAUGUUUUUGGAAUUUUCGGGUGAUGGAAAUCAACCUAAGUUCAUGUUAAAACGAUAUCAUAAUUUUCGUUAUGGUAAGAACUCAGAACUUGGAACCUUUUUUUUUCUUUAUCUUUCCCCUUUUUGAAGUUAAGGAAUUGAAUUACCUUUUUAUUCUUUUUUUGUGAUCAUUCACUGAUACUUGGUUCAUUCUCAUCUUCUGAGAUUGCUU
This 1422-nucleotide long non-coding RNA is filed under the name Malus domestica (apple). RNAcentral describes it as "long non-coding RNA (MDOM_LNC013859)". Lineage: Eukaryota; Viridiplantae; Streptophyta; Magnoliopsida; Rosales; Rosaceae. The record is from RNAcentral.